GGAAAUGGCUCCGAGAGGCUUUGACGCAUGUGUACCUUUUUAGUGGCGGUAUCUCGGCCGGGGAUUUUCGGGCUCCAGUGGAGGUGGCUAUGCUCACCCCAUCUCCCUUGAGAGGCACAGAAGAUGGAGAAACUGAGGCCCAGGCCAAAAAAUAUCUCACUAGAGGGCUCACCGCCAUUUCCUGGAAAAAUUGGGGCUGGGACUCAACGGACGCUCGUCCAGCAGCAGCGCGGAGCUCCGAAGUAAAGGCGCCCGUGACCGAGUGCUUUGUCCUUACAAGCGUGGUGUUCUUGAAUGCUUCCAGGCGCCUUAUGAGGCCCCCGAUGUACAAUCUGUGCUUAACUAAACCCCACUGUCUUCCAGGGUCAGGUUGGCCAUCCGCAGGCGUAGUUGCUAGGAAGGUUUGACAGAUGUCCGCCUGUUGAUUCAGACGUUCCCAGGAUUUGGAGCAAGAAGAGCAAGGAAGGCCAGGCGCGGUGGCUCACGUUUGUAAUCCCAGCACUUUGGGAGGCCGAGGCGGGCGGAUCACGAGGUCAGGAGUUCGAGACCAGCCUGGCCAGCAUGGUGAAACCCCGUCUCUACUAAAAAUACAAAAGAAAAUUAGCCGGGUGUGGUGGCACAUGCCUGUAGUCCCACCUACUUGGGAGGCUGAGGCAGGAGAAUUGUUUGACCUGGCAGGCGGAGGUUGCAGUGAGCCGAGAUUGCGCCACUGCACUCCAGUCUGGGCGACAGAGCGAGACUCUGUCUCAGAAAAAAAAAAGAGCAAGGAGGUGUUGAAAAUGGGUUUCCUGGCUGGGCGUGGUGGCUCACGCUUGUAAUCCCAGCACUUUGGGAAGCUGAGGUGGGCGGAUCACUUGAGGUCAGGAGUUUGAGACCAGCCUGGCCAACAUGGUGAAACACCGUCUCCACUAAAAAUAGAAAAAUUAACUGGGUGUGGUGGAGGGCGCCUGUAAUCCCAGCUAAUCAGGAAGCUGAGACAGGAGGAUCGCUUGAACCCAGGAGGCGGAGGUUGCAGUGAGCCGAGAUUGCUCCAUUGCACUCCAGCCUGGGCGAUAGAGUGAGACUCAGCCUCAAAAAAAAAAAAAAAAAAAAAUUCGCCAGGUGUGGUGGUGUGCGCCUAUAAUCCCAGCUACUCAGGAGGCAGAGGCACAAGAAUGGCUUGAAUCACUUGAACCUGGGAGGCAGAGGUUACAAUGAGCCGAGAUGGCACCACUGCACUCCAGCCUGGGCGACAGAGCGAGACUCCGACUUCCCAUCUUAAAAAAAAAAAAAAAAAAAAAAAAGAAGUGUAAAGAUGUGAUUAUGUGGCAGGGGGUAAGGGUUAAAAAGAAAACAAGAACAAGUUUUCCUCUGCUUAGCCAGCUUACUUCAAGGACAGUUAUAACACUGAAAAGUCGAGGCCAAAGGAAUGGGCUCCAGACAGCCUCCUCCGGAGCAAAGUUGAAAAGAAAAAUUCCUUUACUGUCUCUCCUUUUCUGAACCAUUAAAUAUGACUGUUUGCCAAUGGUUGUAUUUAGUAAGAUUUGUAGACUCUGUUUUUCUUUUGACACAGCUGCAAGGCCAACAGCUGUGCAAAGCCACAAGUUAUGCUAAGUCAGCAGUUAUGCUAUAGAUUACAUGACCUGUGACUGUAUCAUUAACUGCUUUUGUUUUGCUUCUGUAAGUUUGCCUAUAAAAACCACACUCAGUCUUUGUUCAAUGGUCAGCUUUUCAGAUACAAAUCCACUGAGCCGGUGUACAUCUAAAUAAAUCCUCCUGUUUCCCGUG
RNAcentral lists this long non-coding RNA (1767 nucleotides) under Homo sapiens (human). Its description in RNAcentral is "non-protein coding ILF3-DT:22". Lineage: Eukaryota; Metazoa; Chordata; Mammalia; Primates; Hominidae. The record is from RNAcentral.